AUUGAACGCUGGCGGCAGGCCUAACACAUGCAAGUCGAACGAGUGGCGGACGGGUGAGUAAUGUCUGGGAAACUGCCUGAUGGAGGGGGAUAACUACUGGAAACGGUAGCUAAUACCGCCUACCAUCAGCUGUGCCCAGAUGGGAUUAGCUGGUUGUUGGGGUAACGGCUCACCAAGGCGACGAUCCCUAGCUGGUCGGAGAGGAUGACCGGGCGCACUGGAACUGAGACACGGUCCAGACGCAUACGGGAGGCACAAGUGGGGAAUAUCGCACAAUGGGGGCAAGCCUGAUGCAGCCAUGCCGGGUGUAUGAAGAAGGACUUCGGGUUGUAAAGUACUUUCCGCGGGGAGGCGUUACCCGCAGAAGAAGCACCGGCUAACUCCGUGCCAGCAGCCGCGGUAAUUC
This 406-nucleotide ribosomal RNA is filed under the name uncultured bacterium. RNAcentral describes it as "partial 16S ribosomal RNA". It matches the Rfam family "Bacterial small subunit ribosomal RNA", at positions 30 to 526 of the family's 1533-position model. The record is from RNAcentral.